AAAUUGAAAUCUGAGUUUAAAUCAUGAAUUAAAUUUAAUUUUUGAUUUUUGAUAUCAAAUUUAUCUAUCUAUUUUGUAUUAAAAUUUAAAUUUGAUAUUGUAGAUAUUUUUUAAUAAAAUGUAACAUACAAAUUUAGAAAAUAUUUUAUUCUAAAUUUUGAAUAAAUAUGAUUUAUAAAUGUUUAUUGAUUUAAAAUAAAUUUAAAAAAUUAUUACGUGCAUUUACACGUACACUCAACUAGUAAAUAUAUAAUUUAUGUAUUCAAGUUGCUAUCGAGCUGACUCUAGCUCGUAUUCGACUCGUUUAUUAAAUGAGCUGAAAAAUUAAUCUCGUGUUCCGCUCGUUUAUUGAACGAGUGAUUCGAUCUCGAGCUCAUUUCGGACUAAACAUAAGCUGACUCGCAAACAACGAACUGGAUUGCUACCCCUAGUAUAGAAAAAUGGUUUAAUUUAUGAAGAUAAUGAUAAUUAUUAUAACAAA
Molecule: long non-coding RNA, 481 nt
Filed under: Ananas comosus (pineapple)
Lineage: Eukaryota; Viridiplantae; Streptophyta; Magnoliopsida; Poales; Bromeliaceae
Description: long non-coding RNA (ACOM_LNC018433)
Source: RNAcentral